Non-coding RNA from Nelumbo nucifera (sacred lotus), 5269 nucleotides. The record is from RefSeq and is a predicted model, not a curated record. NCBI's taxonomy places the organism in Eukaryota, Viridiplantae, Streptophyta, Magnoliopsida, Proteales, Nelumbonaceae.
UCGCUCUCGCUCGAUCUCGGCUGGAGUUUCUCACAACCGGACGGCAACCAGAGGACAACCUAGAUCUCGGCUUUCUCACCACCAGAUAGACAACUAGAUAUCAGCAUUAACUGGAAAUUAUGGCUGAAGAUGUUGUUGGAUCAGCUGAUGCCUCAGUGCAAAGGAGGGGCAGGGGCCCCACAAGAGCUGUCGAUAUCUGGAACUUGCCAGCAGGAGAAAAAAUACCCAUAACAUUAAAUGAGCUAGGCCAAGGAAUUGGAGAAAAUACAAAGAAAUUAGUGAAGUUUAUGGGAACAAUUGCAAGGAAUGGCGAUCUCUGUCCUCUGAGUUUCAAGCAGUGGACUUCAUUUCCAACUCCAUGUAAAGAGGACAUUUGGAACCUUGUACUAGGUAAAUUUGAGAUAGACAGUAAAGGUAGAAAGUGGGUAUUGUCCUCGAUUGGAAAAAAAUGGAAAGAUUACAAGUCAGAUUUGAAAGCCAUGUACUAUGAUCCAUUUACCCAUGAGGCAAUGUGGAAUUGCCCAAAUAGGGUUCCUAGCGAUCAAUGGCAGAUUCUUGUCGCUUUUUAGAACUCUGAUGAGGGCAAGAAAUGGAGUGUUAUAGCUAGAGGAAACUGGUCCCAACAAAAAUAUGCACACUCUGGGGGGACCAAGAGUAAUGCAAGACUGCGUCAUGAGAUGAUGCAGGAAACUGGUGAUGGGGCACAACCAAGUAAGGGAGUUGUGUGGAUUAAAACACAUAGAAGGAAAGAUGGGGCGCUUGUAGAUGCAGAAUCAAGAAGGGCAAUGGAACAAUUAGAGAACUUGGCAUCACAACGGGCCACGACUUCUGGUGGGUCCUCAGUCCCUAAUGACGAUGACUUCGGUCAAAUAUUUGGAGAGGAACGACAUGGGUACGCACGAACGUAUGUAUUAAGCGUUACUCCUUCCACUCUGAGCAUGAGUUGUAGAAAUAGAGCAUCGGAGUCUACAUCAACAAGAGGAGGUUGUGGGCAUGAGGAUAGAGAUGAACGACUCAGGUGGAUAGAAGAUAACCUUGAAAGGGUGACUAGAGCAUGUAGUGAUGUACAAUAUCGGGUGGGAAGGGUAAUAUCCGUACUUCCUCAAAAUCUUCAAGACAUUCUAAACGAUGAUCGGGAUUUACCUUCAAGAGGUGCAAAGGUUCCUGAUUGAUCAUCAACAUGACUAUAGAGAUUUCUUCCUCCUCUGCUUCUUCCUCAUCUUCUUCAUUGAUGUUGUCUAUGGAAUUGGAUCCAGCCCAUUGAUGUUGUCAGACCAUUCAACAAAACUGAGCUAUAACUGAUGAGUACAUGGUUUACUUACAAUUUAUGCAGUUUUUGUAUGGAUUUUAUGCCGGUUUGAUUAAAUUUCACCCCAUCUUAGUUUGAUUUCAAGAAAGAAUUCAGGGAAAAACCAACUCAAGAAAAAUAAGGCAUAAAGCAAGAAAAGAGAGCCAACAUUUAAUUAAUUUAGCCCAGCCUAGCCAAGAGAACAAUGGAGGAGCAAUCGGUCCAUGUAGCCCAUGCUACACUCUUUGGGAGGACCCAAAGAGAGAGCCUAGCAAGAAGGUUAAAUUCGGCCCAGCAAAGAGGAGGCCCAUUUCAGCCUAAGAACAGCCUAGAGUGCAGCCAAAAUACGCUCAAAACUCAGCUAAGUUGCAGCCCAAAGGGAGCAAGGGGCGACAACUUCUAGAGGCUUCAAGAGGGAGAAAGGGGGCAGCACUCUAGAAGGUUCAAGAGGGGUGAAGUGCACCCAAUUCUAGAAACUUCAAGAGAGGCCUCUAGACUCCUUGAAAGCCUAUAAAAGGAGGUCUCUUGAAGGGAGGAAUGUGUUCAAUUGAUAGAGUUCAAGGCUCUCUAUUCCCUUGAGUUCGAAAUUCUUGAAGAGGAGAAGAGAAAGAGCUAGAUGCAAGAAGAAGAAGGGCUGAAGAGAUCCAAGCAACCAAGGAGAGAAUGAUUUUGGCUCCAACAACUUACAUAUUCUUUGCUUCUAAUAUCCCAGUUAUUUCAUUUGGUGAACAGUUGGACAGGAAUACAGAUGGGAUUCUAACAGCAGUUCGGACAUUGGCAUCUACUGCUUUGUGUGGGAUUAUACACUAUUGUUGGAGAUCAGCCUUUGUUGCUUCUUGGAGUGGCAGAACCUACUAUGCUUAUGUAUAUGUUCAUGUUUAACUUUGCCAAAGACAGACCUGAUUUGGGACCAAAACUCUUCCUAGCAUGGACAGGAUGGUAAGAUAUUUUUCUGCCUCUGCCUGCAUUUUGCACAUUAAUAUAUGUAUUGAAAUAGUAGAGCAGCAAUGUUGUUGGAAAACUGACGUUCAUGGCUGCAACAGUGAAUAGUAGAGCAGGAAGAGAACAUAUAGAUAAGAUAAGAAGCAAGUUCUCAAUAGGACGGAGACCCACUCAUAGAGGACCUGCACCAUGCAGUCAAGAAUCUCUCAGCUGAGCUCUACAACAAAAAUGUCUACUUCCUCAUGGAGCUCAUUCAAGUCUCUCUCUCUCUCUCUCUAAAGAAUCACUGCAAAAGUUUAAGACCUUGGAUUAUUUUAACCUUUUUAUGUUGGUGCUAUAUGAUUCGCUGAUUCUUAUUUUUCCAUCCUAAAGAUUCAAUCAAACUCAAACAAGUGGUUUAGUGGGUUAAUAUUCAAUCAAACCAAGCAUCUAGAAAUUUGUUGGGUUCUUAAUUUCUUAUAAAUAGUUUUUUCUCUUUCUCUGAUCAUUUUGCAGAAUGCUGAAGACAAUGAAUACUUGUCGGAUGUGGAUCCCUCUCUGGAAUUUGUAAUUACAUACAAGGAUAUCACAGGCACUGGUGCUUCAAUAUUUGAAUUCCUUCCAGUUGAGGCUUCACCUUACCAAGAGCUCAACGGAGUUAGAGAAUCUAUCAGAACCAAGAUGCAGGCUGAGGAAUUUGAAUUAUGACUCUUUCCUACUUUUCGAUAUUACAUAUUGUCCUUUUUGGGAGUGGUAAAUUUGAAUUAUGACUGGCAUGCAAAAUGCAUAGAAGGUUGCCAUUUGGUUCAACAAGCUCCAGAAAACAUUUAUCUGAAUCUUCUCUUCUUAAUUUUAAAAAAUUGGUGUUGCAGAUUUGCAUGCAUAACUCUUGCAAGUCUUCCUAUUUUGAAAUAUGUUAAUCAGUACAACAAUGUCCUACUUUCAUUUAACUCUGCACAAACAACAAAACAGAGAACUUUUUUGUCAGAUGAUGAACAUCAUGCAUGGGUAAACAAAUGGAACAUGGAACUGGGUUGCAGGAAGAUGUUUUUAUUGCCCAAUUCCAUUCAAAUGGCACUGAGAAAGUUUCCUAGAAGAGAUACUCUGAUUUCAUGGCUGCACCAUAUUGCAAGAAUACAAGAAAUCACUUUGUUUGAUUUUGCUCGACCUAUUUUCACUUAUCUCUUUGUAAGAAAUUUAUUACUAAACUGGAGACUCUCAAAUUUGUUUCUCCAUUCCUAUUGUCAAUUCAUUUGGGGAUGUAAUAAGGAUUAACGAAUAGCAAGUAGAUCCUUGUCCCAGCACAAGGUAGUAAAUGGGUGAACCUUUUGGGCUCGAAUCCAUGGCCAGGAAGUUAUGAUGAAUUGGGGGAGCAAUAUGGACAAAGUGCUGACUUUUCUGGUGAACAUACAUCAAUGGAGAUGCUUUAUGACUUUGUUAAAUCAUAUAUCAAAGCUACUGAUAUUCUUGAAUUCCCAGGUGAUGCUAUUCUGUGAUUUGUAUUUUUCAACUUGAAAAAGGAAGAAGUUUCCUUGCUUUUGGAUUGGAUCAGAUAUUUGAGGACUAAAUCUGUUGCACUGCCAAAGUUGUUUGAUGAAAGCAUAAAAACGGGGAGAUGGUUGAAAACUUGCUUAGGCUAUAAGUCGCAUAGUCAGUGUUUUUUAUCCAAUAGAGAAGAGAAGUCUAUUUUUGCUGGAAUGCAUGAUUUUCAUGUGAAGUUUCCUAUUCUUGAUGAAAGCUUUUAUGAUAACAGGCUACAUUUAUACACGAGUGAUCUAAAGUGCAUUGGUGUCCGAUCAAGGUACUUGAAUGAGAGGGAUGUGCUUCCUGGUGACAUCACAGGGAAACUUAAAGAAAAAGUAACAUUGAAGACUUCCCAAGGUUACAAAUAUGUUGAUCAAUCUAUUUUUACCUCUGGAUGCCGAAGUAACCACAUUAAGCAGAGAUGGGGCUGCUUUAGAUUCAAUUCUUUGGGAUUCUGAAUGGGAAACUCUCUCAGAUUGCUGAUCUUCCUUUAAUUGAUGAUUCUUACUAUGAGAAGAGCAUAUAUUCCCUAAAGAAUGAGCUGAAAGAAUGGGUGUUGUGAUUGAUUUGGAUGAGUGGUUUGAUUUUGUAACAGAAGGUUUAAAAUUUCCCAAGGACCUAGGAAGGUAACACCAAAUUAUGCAUUUUCGUUGCUCAAGUAUAUAAGGAGGAUACACACAGUCCAGGACACAGGUGGGUUUGCUUCCAGAUUUAUAGAAAAGAAUUGCUUAGCUGACAAGAACCGGUUGAAAGCCAGUCAUGGAUACAAUUCUGCAAAAGGCUCAAUUCAAUUUGACUCAAAAUGGGGUUCACUAUCCCAAAUUUCUGAUCUUCCUCUCAUUGAUGAUGCUUUCUAAUGGUAAGAAAACGAGUUGAAGAUGAUGAGUGUUGUUGUCGAACUCAGUGAUGUAUCACACUUUGUGGUCAAUGGUCUCAAGUUUACAAAAGAUCCUAAAGCAAUAACAGCAGAAAGUGUGUUUGCAUUACUAUAAUGUAUUUGCUUUCUACUAGUGGAAUCACCAAAAAGCCUGCCUGAUGAAUUUUGUCAGAAGAUUAGAAGUAAAUGGUUGAGGACAGUUAUGGGUUACACAUGUCCAAAUGAAUGCCUUCUUUUUUUAUUCUAGAUCCUUUUCCACAAGCACACGAAGGAAAUGUUGGGCAUCUAUUCUAGAACUUGAAGAUGCACCAUAGAAGCCUGUUUUGUUAUAGGAGGAGCCUUUUAUGUUGGCUCUACGAGUGCAUCACUUGGUCCAGGCCUUUCAUUGACCAAAGGGGAUAUGGAUUCAUAAAUGGUUUGAAUUCCAAUUUCUAGUAACCAUAGAAGCUCUCAUGUACCGUUUGUCUAGGAACUAUGUAGUGUUCGACUAUUAAGUUCAUGUGAGAGGGCCAUAAGAAGCCUGCCUGAGGCCCAUAAAGAAUGUUCCUCCAAACCAAAGUAGUAGAAGACAAUGGGCCAUUUCCUAUAAUUGUACAAUAUGUUAUGAACUAAAUUGUAUUUGUGAUUCAAACAUUUUGAAUGGAGAAUGGUUGUUUAAA